ACUCCUACGGGAGGCAGCAGUGGGGAAUAUUGCACAAUGGGGGAAACCCUGAUGCAGCCAUGCCGCGUGUGUGAAGAAGGCCUUCGGGUUGUAAAGCACUUUCAGUAGGGAGGAAGGUAGUGUAGUUAACACCUGCAUUAUUUGACGUUACCUACAGAAGAAGCACCGGCUAACUUCGUGCCAGCAGCCGCGGUAAUACGAAGGGUGCAAGCGUUGUUCGGAUUUAUUGGGCGUAAAGCGCGCGCAGGCGGGCAGCUAAGUCAGAUGUGAAAUCUCGGGGCUCAACCCCGAAACUGCGUCUGAAACUGGUUGCCUAGAGUUUCAGAGGGGAGAGCGGAAUUUCGCAUGUAGGGGUAAAAUCCGUAGAGAUGCGAAGGAACACCAGAGCCGAAGGGGGCUCUCUGGCUGACAACUGACGCUGAGGCGCGAAAGCGUGGGGAGCAAACAGGAUUAGAUACCCUGGUAGACUGUC
This 472-nucleotide ribosomal RNA is filed under the name uncultured bacterium. RNAcentral describes it as "bacterial SSU rRNA". It matches the Rfam family "Bacterial small subunit ribosomal RNA", at positions 335 to 799 of the family's 1533-position model. The record is from RNAcentral.